Molecule: ribosomal RNA, 549 nt
Filed under: uncultured bacterium
Lineage: Bacteria
Description: bacterial SSU rRNA
Rfam family: Bacterial small subunit ribosomal RNA
Source: RNAcentral
UGGGGAAUAUUGGACAAUGGGCGAAAGCCUGAUCCAGCCAUGCCGCGUGUGUGAAGAAGGCCUUUUGGUUGUAAAGCACUUUAAGUGGGGAGGAAAAGCUUAUGGUUAAUACCCAUAAGCCCUGACGUUACCCACAGAAUAAGCACCGGCUAACUCUGUGCCAGCAGCCGCGGUAAUACAGAGGGUGCAAGCGUUAAUCGGAAUUACUGGGCAUAAAGCGCGCGUAGGUGGUUAUUUAAGUCAGAUGUGAAAGCCCCGGGCUUAACCUGGGAACUGCAUCUGAUACUGGAUAACUAGAGUAGGUGAGAGGGGAGUAGAAUUCCAGGUGUAGCGGUGAAAUGCGUAGAGAUCUGGAGGAAUACCGAUGGCGAAGGCAGCUCCCUGGCAUCAUACUGACACUGAGGUGCGAAAGCGUGGGUAGCAAACAGGAUUAGAUACCCUGGUAGUCCACGCCGUAAACGAUGUCUACCAGUCGUUGGGUCUUUUAAAGACUUAGUGACGCAGUUAACGCAAUAAGUAGACCGCCUGGGGAGUACGGCCGCAAGGUUA